RNAcentral lists this ribosomal RNA (496 nucleotides) under uncultured bacterium. RNAcentral's name for it is "partial 16S ribosomal RNA". It matches the Rfam family "Bacterial small subunit ribosomal RNA", at positions 28 to 507 of the family's 1533-position model. The record is from RNAcentral.
GAUGAACGCUGGCGGCGUGCCUAAUACAUGCAAGUCGAGCGAACAGAUGAGGAGCUUGCUCCUCUGACGUUAGCGGCGGACGGGUGAGUAACACGUGGAUAACCUACCUAUAAGACUGGGAUAACUUCGGGAAACCGGAGCUAAUACCGGAUAAUAUAUUGAACCGCAUGGUUCAAUAGUGAAAGACGGUUUUGCUGUCACUUAUAGAUGAUCCGCGCCGCAUUAGCUAGUUGGUAAGGUAACGGCUUACCAAGGCAACGAUGCGUAGCCGACCUGAGAGGGUGAUCGGCCACACUGGAACUGAGACACGGUCCAGACUCCUACGGGAGGCAGCAGUAGGGAAUCUUCCGCAAAGGGCGAAAGCCUGACGGAGCAACGCCGCGUGAGUGAUGAAGGUCUUCGGAUCGUAAAACUCUGUUAUUAGGGAAGAACAAAUGUGUAAGUAACUAUGCACGUCUUGACGGUACCUAACCAGAAAGCCACGGCUAACUACGUG